This 515-nucleotide ribosomal RNA is filed under the name uncultured bacterium. RNAcentral describes it as "partial 16S ribosomal RNA". It matches the Rfam family "Bacterial small subunit ribosomal RNA", at positions 28 to 523 of the family's 1533-position model. The record is from RNAcentral.
GAUGAACGCUGGCGGCGUGCCUAAUACAUGCAAGUCGAGCGAAUGGAUUAAGAGCUUGCUCUUAUGAAGUUAGCGGCGGACGGGUGAGUAACACGUGGGUAACCUGCCCAUAAGACUGGGAUAACUCCGGGAAACUGGGGCUAAUACCGGAUAACAUUUUGAACCGCAUGGUUCGAAAUUGAAAGGCGGCUUCGGCUGUCACUUAUGGAUGGACCCGCGUCGCAUUAGCUAGUUGGUGAGGUAACGGCUCACCAAGGCAACGAUGCGUAGCCGACCGGAGAGGGUGAUCGGCCACACUGGGACUGAGACACGGCCCAGACUACUACGGGAGGCAGCAGUAGGGAAUCUUCCGCAAUGGACGAAAGUCUGACGGAGCAACGCCGCGUGAGUGAUGAAGGCUUUCGGGUCGUAAAACUCUGUUGUUAGGGAAGAACAAGUGCUAGUUGAAUAAGCUGGCACCUUGACGGUACCUAACCAGAAAGCCACGGCUAACUACGUGCCAGCCGCCGCAGUAA